GACGAACGCUGGCGGCGUGCUUAACACAUGCAAGUCGAACGAAGAGCGAUGGAAGCUUGCUUCUAUCAAUCUUAGUGGCGAACGGGUGAGUAACGCGUAAUUAACCUGCCCUUCAGAGGGGGACAACAGUUGGAAACGACUGCUAAUACCGCAUACGAUCUAAUCUCGGCAUCGAGGAUAGAUGAAAGGUGGCCUCUACAUGUAAGCUAUCACUGAAGGAGGGGAUUGCGUCUGAUUAGCUAGUUGGAGGGGUAACGGCCCACCAAGGCGAUGAUCAGUAGCCGGUCUGAGAGGAUGAACGGCCACAUUGGGACUGAGACACGGCCCAGACUCCUACGGGAGGCAGCAGUGGGGAAUCUUCCGCAAUGGACGAAAGUCUGACGGAGCAACGCCGCGUGAGUGAUGACGGCCUUCGGGUUGUAAAGCUCUGUUAAUCGGGACGAAAGGCCUUCUUGCGAAUAGUGAGAAGGAUUGAC
RNAcentral lists this ribosomal RNA (476 nucleotides) under Veillonella parvula. Its description in RNAcentral is "bacterial SSU rRNA". It matches the Rfam family "Bacterial small subunit ribosomal RNA", at positions 28 to 473 of the family's 1533-position model. Lineage: Bacteria; Bacillati; Bacillota; Negativicutes; Veillonellales; Veillonellaceae. The record is from RNAcentral.